GGUAGGCAGGAUGUGACUGACGGUGACCGCGAUGGCUCAUUAAAUCAGCUAUGGUUCCUUAGAUCAUACCUACUACAUGGAUAACUGUAGUAAUUCUAGAGCUAAUACAUGCCACUAUGCCCUGACCCGCAAGGGGAUGGGUGCAUUUAUUAGAACAGAACCAACCGGGGAUGGUUUCGGCCGUUCCUGUUGAAAUCUGUGAUGACUCUGGAUAACUUUACUGAUCGCAGUCGGCCUUGUGUCGGCGACAAAUCUUUCAAAUGUCUGCCCUAUCAACUUCCGAUGGUAGGUGAUCUGCCUACCAUGGUGAUAACGGGUAACGGGGAAUCAGGGUUCGAUUCCGGAGAGGGAGCCUGAGAAACGGCUACCACAUCCAAGGAAGGCAGCAGGCGCGAAAAUUACCCACUCCCAGCACGGGGAGGUAGUGACGAAAAAUACGAAUACGGGACUCUUCUGAGGCUCCGUAAUUCGAAUGAGUACAAUCUAAAUCCUUUAACGAGGACCAAUUGGAGGGCAAGUCUGGUGCCAGCAGCCGCGGUAACUCCAGCUCCAAAAGCGUAUAUUAAAGUUGCUGCAGUUAAAAAGCUCGUAGUUGGAUCUGGGUCGUGCGGUCGCGUGCCGGCGCUCGUUCAUUUGGCUUGAUCUUUGAUCGGGUCGCUUGUUCGUGUCGGUAUCGUGGUCGUGCAGCCUUUCAGCCGUGUCUGUGUAAACAGGUGCUGGCUUGG
This 725-nucleotide ribosomal RNA is filed under the name Cyathocotylidae sp. 1 DISC-2009. RNAcentral describes it as "SSU rRNA". It matches the Rfam family "Eukaryotic small subunit ribosomal RNA", at positions 62 to 778 of the family's 1831-position model. The record is from RNAcentral. Lineage: Eukaryota; Metazoa; Platyhelminthes; Trematoda; Diplostomida; Cyathocotylidae.